RNAcentral lists this long non-coding RNA (637 nucleotides) under Pongo abelii (Sumatran orangutan). RNAcentral describes it as "lincRNA". Lineage: Eukaryota; Metazoa; Chordata; Mammalia; Primates; Hominidae. The record is from RNAcentral.
AAGUGCCUUCUCUCCUCCCGGGUCUGCGCGGACGCGGUCUCCUUACCUCAUUUGUCCUCGCCCCUCCCCGUCCCUCUACGCGUUUUGGUCCCUGUUUGGUGCUUUCUGUUUGCAGCUACGGCAGUGAAUCUGGGCAUAGGAACCAACCAGAAACAAUCGCUUCAGCAAUCAAGACCAUUGUUCAUCAUGGAGGAACCCAUAGAUACCUCUGAGCCUCUAUCUGCAUUACCAUUCACUGGGCAGCAGUCUUUUGAGCCAAGUGGCAAAUUUGGACAGUAUCCAUCCAAUGCAGAUGAACCACAUCCAGGCACUGGGGAGGUGGAGGACAUAGAACAGCUCAAUCAGUGUUUGAUCCAACACUUCCAUCUCAUUAAGACAAGUUUGAUUUUUCUUUGCUUUUUAUUUCAUGGAAUACAUGAGAAUCUCUUAACUGUUGGAGUUUCCAAGGAGGCAUACCUCAUGACUUCAGUUAAUGGAAAGAACAAAACUAAAAUGCUGUAUGGCCAAAGCCACAAAGGGAAGGAUCCGCAAUUUACAUCCUUGGAGCUAUUAUCUGUACUGUACUGUUGUGAUCUACUGAUUGGCAUUGGCAUAGUAGUAGGGGUCAAGUGACAGAAUCCGUGCCAACAGUCUCCAG